This 491-nucleotide ribosomal RNA is filed under the name uncultured bacterium. RNAcentral describes it as "partial 16S ribosomal RNA". It matches the Rfam family "Bacterial small subunit ribosomal RNA", at positions 28 to 507 of the family's 1533-position model. The record is from RNAcentral.
GAUGAACGCUGGCUACAGGCUUAACACAUGCAAGUCGAGGGGAAACGACGGGGAAGCUUGCUUCCCCGGGCGUCGACCGGCGCACGGGUGAGUAACGCGCAUCCAACCUGCCUCUGACUGAGGGAUAACCCGUCGAAAGUCGGCCUAAUACCUCAUGGUAUCGUCUGCGGGCAUCCAACGACGAUUAAAGAUUUCAUCGGUCAGGGAUGGGGAUGCGUCUGAUUAGCUUGUUGGCGGGGUAACGGCCCACCAAGGCUACGAUCAGUAGGGGUUCUGAGAGGAAGGUCCCCCACAUUGGAACUGAGACACGGUCCAAACUCCUACGGGAGGCAGCAGUGAGGAAUAUUGGUCAAUGGGCGAGAGCCUGAACCAGCCAAGUAGCGUGCAGGAAGACGGCCCUAUGGGUGGUAAACUGCUUUUAGGCGGGGAUAAAGUGAGGGACGUGUCCCUCAUUGCAGGUACCGCAUGAAUAAGGACCGGCUAAUUCUGUG